This 52-nucleotide non-coding RNA is filed under the name Tieghemostelium lacteum. RNAcentral describes it as "Dictyostelium lacteum Class I RNA from Dictyostelium". It matches the Rfam family "Class I RNA from Dictyostelium". The record is from Rfam by way of RNAcentral. Lineage: Eukaryota; Evosea; Eumycetozoa; Dictyosteliales; Raperosteliaceae.
GAACUUCUUACAGCAAUUAAAACAUUCAAUUAAUGGAAAACCUCAGGUUCUG